RNAcentral lists this ribosomal RNA (398 nucleotides) under uncultured Rhodoferax sp. RNAcentral describes it as "bacterial SSU rRNA". It matches the Rfam family "Bacterial small subunit ribosomal RNA", at positions 986 to 1382 of the family's 1533-position model. The record is from RNAcentral. Lineage: Bacteria; Pseudomonadati; Pseudomonadota; Betaproteobacteria; Burkholderiales; Comamonadaceae.
AUGUACGGAACCCUUUAGAGAUAGAGGGGUGCUCGAAAGAGAGCCGUAACACAGGUGCUGCAUGGCUGUCGUCAGCUCGUGUCGUGAGAUGUUGGGUUAAGUCCCGCAACCGAGCGCAACCCUUGUCAUUAGUUGCUACAUUCAGUUGGGCACUCUAAUGAGACUGCCGGUGACAAAGCCGGAGGAAGGUGGGGAUGACGUCAAGUCCUCAUGGCCCUUAUAGGUGGGGCUACACACGUCAUACAAUGGCUGGUACAAAGGGUUGCCAACCCGCGAGGGGGAGCCAAUCCCAUAAAGCCAGUCGUAGUCCGGAUCGUAGUCUGCAACUCGACUACGUGAAGUCGGAAUCGCUAGUAAUCGUGGAUCAGAAUGUCACGGUGAAUACGUUCCCGGGUCUU